RNAcentral lists this ribosomal RNA (989 nucleotides) under Sinodendron cylindricum. RNAcentral describes it as "partial 16S ribosomal RNA". The stretch from base 460 to 620 matches the Rfam family "Archaeal large subunit ribosomal RNA", at positions 1885 to 2094 of the family's 2987-position model. The record is from RNAcentral. Lineage: Eukaryota; Metazoa; Arthropoda; Insecta; Coleoptera; Lucanidae.
UAAUUAAUAAUUUUGUAUAAAAAUUUUCCCGAAUUUAGAAGAGUUAAGAGAUAAUAAAUUUUAUUGUAAAAUAAAUAUUUAUAAUUAUUUUUUAGUAAUGAAACGUUAGUCGUUUCUAAUUAUAUCUGGUUUUCUAAGAAAUUAAUUUAAUUAAUUAUUCAUAUAAUAAAUUUAAUAUUUAGAUAUUAAGUUUUUUAUGAGUAAAAAUCUUUUAAGGGAUAAGCUUUGAAAGAUAUUAAUAUAAGAUAGAAAGUUUUACAAAUUUUAUAUGAUUAUAAGUUUUAACUAUUAGGAGUGUGUUAUAACUAAAUUUGUAUUGAUUAUAUUUAUAUUAUUUUUAUAUAAUUUAUUUGAAUUUUAAUUUUAAUAAGUUAUUUUAUGCAAUAAUGAUUGAAUUAGUAUAUGUAAUUGUAUAUUUAAUAAAAAAAAUGUUAGAUGAUGUAAAGGAAUUCGGCAAAUAAAUUUCCGCCUGUUUAUUAAAAACAUGUCUUUUUGAUGAUGAUUUAAGGUUUAACCUGCCCACUGAAUAUUGAAUGGCCGCGGUAAUUUGACCGUGCGAAGGUAGCAUAAUAAUUAGUUUCUUGAUUGGGAACUGGAAUGAAUGGUUGGACGAGAAAUUUUCUGUCUCUGUAUUAUUAUUAGAAUUUUAUAUUUAAGUAAAAAAGCUUAGAUUUGUUUAAAAGACGAGAAGACCCUAUAGAGUUUAAUAUUUAAUUAAUUUUUAAUAUGUGGGAUUAUUAAUUUAAUUUUGAUACUAUAUUUUGUUGGGGUGAUAGAAAAAUUUAAUUAACUUUUUUUUUUUGUUAUCAUUAAUUUAUGAAUCAUUGAUCCGUUGUUUACGAUUAAAAGAUUAAAUUACCUUAGGGAUAACAGCGUAAUCUUUUUUGAGAGUUCAUAUCGAAAGAGUGGAUUGCGACCUCGAUGUUGGAUUAAAAUUAAUUAUUGGUGUAGAGGCUAAUAAAUUAGGUCUGUUCGACCUUUAAAAUUUU